AUCCCGUGGUGAAGGCACCUUCUUAAUAGGUCCUUGUAUCUCUCCCAUGCAUCAUAGAGCUUUAGUAAAUCCAUCUGCACAAAAGAAGAAAUAUCAUUCCUUAGUUU
This is a non-coding RNA of Gossypium arboreum, 107 nucleotides long. The record is from Rfam. Lineage: Eukaryota; Viridiplantae; Streptophyta; Magnoliopsida; Malvales; Malvaceae.